This 3708-nucleotide long non-coding RNA is filed under the name Homo sapiens (human). RNAcentral's name for it is "HSALNT0391135". Lineage: Eukaryota; Metazoa; Chordata; Mammalia; Primates; Hominidae. The record is from RNAcentral.
AUUUUUGUAGAGGCUGGGUCUCUCUCCAUGUUGCCUAGGCUGGUCUCGAACUCCUGGGCUCAAGCAGUCUGCCUCUCUCGGCCUCCCAAUGUGUUGGGAUUGCAGGUGUGAGCCACUGUGCUCAGUCUGACAGUAGAGUCUUGAGAAAUCUCUACAUCUUUUGAGAAUGUUCAGAGGAGGAGAUCCUAGCAGAAGUGGCCAGAAAGGUAGGAGAAAUGUAGGCACAUGUCACGUCAUGGAAGCCAGGAAAGUGUUUCAAGAAGAAAAAAGUGGUCAGUGGUGUCCUGUGCCAUUGAGAGGUCUAGGAAGAAUUCUAGGAAGAAUCGAUGUUGGCACAGGAAAGUUGGAUAUGCUGACUAUGGCAGCAGGUGCCCUGGUGAGGGAGAGGCCAGCCUAGAAGGGCUUAAGAGGAGAGAGAGGCGAGGAAGUGGAGAAGAUUCAGUUGAAGUCAAGCUCACUGUUCUCUUUUCCCUUUUACAGUACUUUCAACCCUCUGGCUUAGUAAGUUGUGGUUUUUCUGACCUUUUUAAAGUUUGAGAGGACAUUUUAUUUAUAUUAACCAAUUUAUUUGAAUUUCAGUCUCAGAAGUAUUAAAUAUUAGUUCAUAAGAUUGUUAAUCUGCUGGGUCAGGCAAAUACAGAAGAGUUUUUCACUUUAUUCUUGAUUAUUUUACUUAUGAUCAUUUCCAAUUUAGUUGGGGUAAUAACCUGAUCAGUUAUAUACAUUGCACUCAUUCAUUCUUCAGCAAACAUGUACUGAAUACCUGCCCCUAGUAUGUUCUUGGCCCAGACUAGGCCCUAGCAACCCAAGUGAACUGCCUGUCUGGCUGCCUUAAUGGGGGCUCCCAAUCUAGUGGGGAGCAAAUGAAAUGAUCAGUGCGAUCAUUUACUGCACUAGCAGCUGUUCUGCCAAGAGUGUGCAGAAUCACUCUUUAUUAACCUAGAAAUGACCUGAGAGAGCAUGUAGUCGAGUUCUGGUCAUUUUGUAAGUAAAGCAUAUGGCCACAGAGGUGAAGGACACAUAGAGGCUAAGGUCACAGCUAGUUUUAUUUAUUUAUAUAUUUAUUUAUUUGGGACAUAGUCUCACUCUUUCACCCAGGCUGGAGUGCAGUGGCACGAUGUAGGCUCACUCCAACCUCUGUCUUGCAGAUUCAAGCGAUUCUUAUGCCUCACCUUCCUGAGUAGCUGGGACUACAGGCACGCACCACAACACCCACCUAAUUUUUGUAGUUUUAAUAGAGACAGGGUUUUGCCAUGUUGGCCAGGCUGAUCUCAAACUCCUGGCCUCAAGCAAUUCACCCACCUUGGUCUCCCAAAGUGCUGGGAUUACAGGCGUGAGCCACCGUGCCUGGCCCAGCUAGUUUUAGUGAUAGAGCCAAGAUUCAGACUCCGGGUUGUAGGAUUCCAAAGCCCGAGGCUGAUACUCAGCUGCCUUGCUUUAUUGCUUCCUUAGUAACAAAAUUGACCAAAUCGGGACUUGGAAACAGGAGCUGAUGUGCCAGCAUACAUUUUGAGCUAAUUUUCACAUUCAUCAGCUUUUGAAAAUAUUUACAGGUUGGCUUGCUUUGCUGCCUGACUGUGAAGGAUGGGAAAGUAUUUAGUGCUCCUUAUAGGCUGUGUGGAAAUUUUCUUCUGGAGAGAGUUUGGUUGGGAUAAUGAUUGAGCUCUAAACUGGGAAUAAAGUCAUCUGGGUUUUCCUUUCACCUGUUUUGUGAUCAUAGGCGUAGAAUUACCUUAUUAAUUAGUGUUGAUUAUUGUGUAAUAUUUGAGUUAUAGGGUAUUUUUUAGCACAUCAUCACAGCAGAAUUUUCCACCUGGAGUGCGUUCACGAGGACUUCGGGGUAUUAUGAAGCGCUCUAAUAGGCGCCUCUCUUUAGAUAGUGGAGGAAUUGAAACUGUAUUUGGGAAGUAUGUCCUGCGUUGGAAAACAGCAUAUACUUUUUUUCUUUUUAACAAUUGAAGUCGUUGCUUUUUGGGAAUCCAAAAAAAAAAAAAAUUAACAACGAAGGGUUCUAGUUCUGACAAAGCUAAAUAUUUCUUGAUAUGCUGAUGGGAUUAUAUAUGAUUGGCCCUUUUCAAAAAAGUAUUUUAACCUUGAGGGAUUUUUCAAGGCUCAGAAUUCUUAAGCUUUCUGUUGUUAUCAUUAUGUGAAAACUGAAGAGUAGGAAAGUGGUUUGUCUGUUCAUGACUUACAGGCUCCAGAACCUUAAUUAGCUUGUUUUUUUUAAGUUUAAAAUUUUAAAACAUACAUGGUUCAUUGUAAAAUAUCAUCCAGUUAGCCACUAUCCUACCACCUCAGGACAUCUCUGCUGACAUUUUGGUGUAUUUCCUUCCAGUAUUUGAAUACGAUAUUGGAUGUUGAGAUAAGCUUGUUUGUACUUUCUGUACAACUUUAUAUCCUGUUCAUUUAAUGUUGCAUCAUGAGCAUUUCCUGGAGGAGGUGAUUUUCUCAGAGGAGCAGCAAGGCAUUUUUUAGAAAUAGAUGUGUAUUUUUUAUUUAAAUGGAAAAUUCUUCCCGCUAUAUAUGUAUUUUUUUAGCCAACAGAAGAUAGUGGUGCUAAAUGGUAACAUGGAACAAAUAUGGGGUAAAUAUUACCAUGUUGCUACCUGAUCAGCAAUAUAUAUGAUGUCAGAGCUGACCCAUCUCUGCAGUAUUAAACUCCUUUCUCACAUUUAAAAUUUGUACUUAAUUUUGUUAAGUACCGUGGCUCAUGCCUGUAAUCCCAACACUUUGGGAGGCCAAGGCGGGUGGAUCACCUGAGGUCGGGCGUUCAAGACCAGCCUGACAAACAUGGAGAAACUCCAUCUCUACUAAAAAUACAAAAUUAGCCAGGCGUGGUGUUACAUGCCUGUAAUCCCAGGUGCUCAGGAGGCUGAGGCAGGAGAAUCGCUUGAACCAGGGAGGCGGAGGUUUCAGUGAGCUGAGAUCGUGCCAUUGCACUCCAGCCUGGGCAACAAGAGCAAAACUCCAUCUCAAAAAAAUAAAAUAAAAUAAAUACUAAACAUAUGGCUAAAACUUUUUUCUCUGUUUCUCCACGAUGAAGCAUUUUAGUAAGGUCCUUUUUUUGUGACUUCUGUAGUAGGAGAAUUACUAAACUGCGUUGUACAUUUUGUGUUAACAUUUGAUAGGACUACGGAAAUACUCCUAGAACACUUGGAUCAUUAAGAUUAUUAGCCUUGGGCCAGGCACGGUGGCUCACACCUUUAAUCCCAGCACUUUGGGAGGCCGAGGCAGGUGGAUCACAAGGUCAGGAGAUCGAGACCAUCCUGGCUAACAGGGUGAAACCCCGUCUCUACUAAAAAUACAAAAAAUUAGCUGGGCGUGGUGGCGGGUGUCUGUAGUCCCAGCUACUCGGGAGGCUGAGGCAGGAAAAGACUUCAUCUCAAAAAAAAAAAAAAAUUAUUAGCCUUAAAUUAUUUUGGUGAUAAGGCCAACACAAAAACUUGAUAUAAAGAGGAAUUUAUUAAUUUGUGAGCAGCAACAAGAAAAAGGCAAUUUCUAGAAUAAUGUAAUAAGUUCUUUCCAAAAAAGCUCUUAUUUCAUGUGCAGUAGUUUAUUUUUGUAGCUUAUAUGCUAGAAAACAUUGAAAUAACUUAUCUAAGUGAGAUAAAGGUAGUAUUCUACUUAUGCUAUUAUAGACUGUCUUACAUUGGUCUGGAAAGAUACUUAGUUUGAAAAAGAAAUUUUCAAAUAUUGAAAUGGUUUAUG